This 570-nucleotide ribosomal RNA is filed under the name uncultured bacterium. Its description in RNAcentral is "bacterial SSU rRNA". It matches the Rfam family "Bacterial small subunit ribosomal RNA", at positions 8 to 573 of the family's 1533-position model. The record is from RNAcentral.
AGAGUUUGAUCCUGGCUCAGAUUGAACGCUGGCGGCAUGCCUUACACAUGCAAGUCGAACGGCAGCACGGGGGCAACCCUGGUGGCGAGUGGCGAACGGGUGAGUAAUACAUCGGAACGUGUCCUGUUGUGGGGGAUAACCCACCGAAAGGUGAGCUAAUACCGCAUGACCUGGAAACAGUAAAGCGGGGGACCGCAAGGCCUCGCGCGAUUGGAGCGGCCGAUGUCCGAUUAGCUAGUUGGUGAGGUAAAGGCUCACCAAGGCGACGAUCGGUAGCUGGUCUGAGAGGAUGAUCAGCCACACUGGGACUGAGACACGGCCCAGACUCCUACGGGAGGCAGCAGUGGGGAAUUUUGGACAAUGGGGGCAACCCUGAUCCAGCCAUGCCGCGUGAGUGAAGAAGGCCUUCGGGUUGUAAAGCUCUUUCGGUGGGAACGAAACGGUUACAGCUAACACCUGUGACUAAUGACGGUACUCACAGAAGAAGCACCGGCUAACUACGUGCCAGCAGCCGCGGUAAUACGUAGGGUGCGAGCGUUAAUCGGAAUUACUGGGCGUAAAGCGUGCGCA